RNAcentral lists this transfer RNA (82 nucleotides) under Roseomonas fluvialis. RNAcentral's name for it is "Roseomonas sp. S08 tRNA-Ser". The record is from RNAcentral. Lineage: Bacteria; Pseudomonadati; Pseudomonadota; Alphaproteobacteria; Acetobacterales; Roseomonadaceae.
GUCGAUCGUGCGCGGGAUGAAGCGCUGCAGGUUCGACCCCUGCGGCGUGACACCACCGCCGAUCAUCUCGGCGAUAGACCCC